RNAcentral lists this ribosomal RNA (433 nucleotides) under uncultured bacterium. RNAcentral describes it as "partial 16S ribosomal RNA". It matches the Rfam family "Bacterial small subunit ribosomal RNA", at positions 29 to 507 of the family's 1533-position model. The record is from RNAcentral.
AACGAACGCUGGCGGCAUGCCUAACACAUGCAAGUCGAACGAGACCUUCGGGUCUAGUGGCGCACGGGUGCGUAACGCGUGGGAACCUGCCCUUAGGUUCGGCAUAACUCCCCGAAAGGGGUGCUAAUACCGGAUAAUGUCUUCGGCCCAAAGAUUUAUCGCCUUUGGAUGGGCCCGCGUUGGAUUAGCUAGUUGGUAGGGUAAAAGCCUACCAAGGCGACGAUCCAUAGCUGGUCUGAGAGGAUGAUCAGCCACACUGGGACUGAGACACGGCCCAGACUCCUACGGGAGGCAGCAGUGGGGAAUAGUGGACAAUGGGCGAAAGCCUGAUCCAGCAAUGCCGCGUGAGUGAUGAAGGCCUUAGGGUUGUAAAGCGCUUUUAACCGGGAUGAUAAUGACAGUACCGGGAGAAUAAGCUCCGGCUAACUCCGUG